UAAGGAAUAUUGGACAAUGGAGGCAACUCUGAUCCAGCCAUGCCGCGUGAAGGAAUAAGGCCCUAUGGGUUGUAAACUUCUUUUAGACGGGACAAAACCCCUUUACGUGUAAAGGGUUGAUGGUACUGUCAGAAUAAGCAUCGGCUAACUUCGUGCCAGCAGCCGCGGUAAUACGAAGGAUGCAAGCGUUAUCCGGAAUUAUUGGGUUUAAAGGGUGCGUAGGCGGACUAAUAAGUCAGUGGUGAAAGCCUGCAGCUUAACUGCAGAAUUGCCAUUGAUACUGUUAGUCUUGAGUACAGUUGAAGUAGGCGGAAUGUGUCAUGUAGCGGUGAAAUGCUUAGAUAUGACACAGAACACCGAUUGCGAAGGCAGCUUGCUAAGCUGUAACUGACGCUGAGGCACGAAAGCGUGGGGAGCAAACA
This 422-nucleotide ribosomal RNA is filed under the name uncultured bacterium. RNAcentral describes it as "bacterial SSU rRNA". It matches the Rfam family "Bacterial small subunit ribosomal RNA", at positions 355 to 774 of the family's 1533-position model. The record is from RNAcentral.